RNAcentral lists this ribosomal RNA (609 nucleotides) under Triticum aestivum (bread wheat). RNAcentral's name for it is "partial small subunit ribosomal RNA". The record is from RNAcentral. Lineage: Eukaryota; Viridiplantae; Streptophyta; Magnoliopsida; Poales; Poaceae.
AAACAGGACAGAGCUACAUGGAAUAAUGGUCGCACUAUUUUUUUUGUGUCAAUGAUGAAAGAGUGUGCAGAUGUGGGAAGGUACCAUGGCCAAAGUGGGUGGACCAAGGAAGGAUGGCAAGCUAUGAAAAACCGCCUUAAUGAGAGGCCUCCUGGAGCUAAUUUCACUGUUCAACAGUUGAAAGAUAGAGAGCAAAGGUUGAAGAAGGAACUUAAUGUUGUCAAGUCUAUUGUAGAAAAGAGUGGUUUCGGUUGGGAUCCUCAUAACAAAGUGCCAACGACUAUAGAUGAAAAAUGGACAGAGCUAAGCGAACAUCGCAAGUGGAGAUACAAACAAUUCCCGUAUUAUGAUGUUUUAUAUGAAAUUUACGAAGGUCAAAUGGAAGAAGGAAAGAAUUGCAAAAGGACAACCGAUGGUAAUGAAGAGAGGUACAAUAAUGUGUCCCAUUUUCCUGAACAUGGAAGUUAUACUGAUGAUGUUUUGAGGGCUGCCGGUAUGAAUUCUCCUGAGGCAACACUAUCUGCUCCAGGAUCAUCAAUGCCAGAAUAUGAGUUGGGCAGAGAUAUAUAUGGGGAUGAUGUUGACUUAUCAUAUGGUGAAUAUACAUAA